CUCAGUUGAACGCUGCGGCAUGCCUACACUGCAGUCGUACGCGAAAGGGGGCAACCCCCGGUAGAGUGGCGAACGGGUGAGUAACACAUCGAAACGUGCCCAGUAGUGGGGGACAACCUCGAGAAAUCGAGGCUAAUACUGCCAUACGACCCACGGGUGAAAGCGGGGGACCGCAAGGCCUCGCGCUAUUGUAGCGGCCGAUGUCCGAUUAGCUAGUUGGUAGGGUAAGAGCCUACCAAGGCGACGAUCGGUAGCUGGUCUGAGAGGACGACCAGCCACACUGGGACUGAGACACGUCCCAGACUCCUACGGGAGGCAGCAGUGGGGAAUUUUGGACAAUGGGGGCAACCCUGAUCCAGCCAUGCCGCGUGCGGGAAGAAGGCCUUCGGGUUGUAAACCGCUUUCGGCCGGAACGAAAUCGUCGGGGAGAACAUCCCCGACGGAUGACGGUACCGGAAGAAGAAGCACCGGCUAACUACGUGCCAGCAGCCGCGGUAAUACGUAGGGUGCGAGCGUUAAUCGGAAUUACUGGGCGUAAAGCGUGCGCAGGCGGUUCGUUAAGACAGAUGUGAAAGCCCCGGGCUUAACCUGGGAACUGCGUUUGUGACUGGCGGGCUGGAGUGCGGAAGAGGGAGGUGGAAUUCCACGUGUAGCAGUGAAAUGCGUAGAGAUGUGGAGGAACACCGAUGGCGAAGGCAGCCUCCUGGUCUAGCACUGACGCUCACGCACGAAAGCGUGGGGAGCAAACAGGAUUAGAUACCCUGGUAGUCCACGCCCUAAACGAUGGCGACUAGUUGUUGGGGUAGAAGUACCUUAGUAACGCAGCUAACG
This 831-nucleotide ribosomal RNA is filed under the name uncultured beta proteobacterium. RNAcentral describes it as "bacterial SSU rRNA". It matches the Rfam family "Bacterial small subunit ribosomal RNA", at positions 23 to 857 of the family's 1533-position model. Lineage: Bacteria; Pseudomonadati; Pseudomonadota; Betaproteobacteria. The record is from RNAcentral.